Molecule: long non-coding RNA, 2215 nt
Filed under: Mus musculus (house mouse)
Lineage: Eukaryota; Metazoa; Chordata; Mammalia; Rodentia; Muridae
Description: RIKEN cDNA 5031434O11 gene, transcript variant 3 (5031434O11Rik)
Source: RNAcentral
GCGGCCAGGGCCGCCAUGUGCCUGGUGUGCGGCCGGGUGCGUUGCGAUGGGAGACCCACCUAGACCCGGCCCUGGUGGCCAUGGGACGCAGCGACUCAGUCAGGAAAAGGGCAGGCGGUCGGAGAGGGGAAGUCGAGGUGGCUGAAACAACGCUGCCCCGCGGAGAUCGCGGGCCUCAAGGGACUGCCCUCCCAUCCUCCAUCCCCGCAAGGACUAAGGCCAAGCCGCGGCAGCCGCAGCCGCCGCCCCCUCUCCUCUCGUCCCCGGUCCCGGAGGCUCUGGGGUGCUGCCGCCACUGCAACUUUCUCCUGUGAUACCCCCUCUUUGUUAUGGAGCAGCUGAUCCGCUGACAUCACCCGGCGCCGGUGCGCUCCCUCCCUCGUUGAUUGACAGUUCCCUGUCCUUUCCCAGAAGUGAGGAUCCUUAGAACCCAAGGUGCUCCGGAGCUGCGCCGCCUCUUAAGACCAGGCAGUGGGCAGACCAGGCGGCGUUUACCUUUUGGCUUGGUUCACUGUUCGCCAGCCACGCGGUCCAGGUCGCCGCCGGCUGUUCGCUAGCGCCGGGGGCCUCGAGGGUACCCGCCUGGGGUGGGUGAGGGGCUCAGAGCACCUGAUACCCCACGAUGUGCCACCAGGGACUUGGAAGUGCGUCAUGCUGGGUGUUCCUACCACUAUCUCACUCCUGGACAGCUGGAGCGCACUCGGAACUAAGGAAGCCUUUGGUUCCUGAGCUUCUACUUCCUCUUGCCCUCGAGCCCCACUUCACUCGGCUCGCUACUGCCCAGAGUUGCAAAGUGCGGCGGGCCCAGGAGCGCAGGUGCCCCGUCCCCCUUCCACUGCCCAGCGCUGCCUCCACAAGCCAGUUCCCUCGACUCCAGGGGGCGUCCUGCGUCCUGGAUUCCUCCCGACUGAACGUCCUACCCAGGAGUCCCCAGUCUCCAUCUUCUUUCGCAUCUCCAGGCCCCUAGAGAGAUCCAGGAAUUCAGCAAACCCAAAUGGCAGCAGGCUGGUAAUCAGGCCGCACCCGAGCUUUGGCCGAUUCCUUCUCCUUGUCUUGAAGAUGGAGCCACCAAGCGGAGAGCCGGAGCCAGGACCCUGUGUCUAGCGCUCCUCCUUCUCUCGCCUCCGGUCCUGUAUUUGUGAUGUCCCUAGAUGUUUCUUUAGUUUCUCCAAGUGCCAACCACUUCACAGACUCAGGCAUCUUUGAGGGAAGAAAACUCCCUUCCCAGCCCAGCCACUUAAAGAGUGUCAUUAUGUCCUCUUACAGGUGGCAGCAAAGGAUCUCUUUAAAUAGCGGGUUAAAUGCAUGCGCAUGUACCCAAUGUACUGUGGAAUUACCCGGUGCUGGUCUGGCCUUCUGCCAAGAACAGUCAUCGUGGCGGGUGGGAAGGAUGGGGCAGGAACCAAAGAAAGUUGUUCCUUUUCGUUUUCUGAACAAUAAAUGAGGCAGGAUUUCAAGUCACUUCCAAAGCCUGAGAGAGUCCCCCCCCUCCUUAAUUUCUUAAAUGCCUUUUUUUUUUCAUUUUCUUUUUCUUUUUUAUUUAAGGCAGGAUCUCCUGUAGCCCGGUCUCUCACCUCUAACUCACUGUAUACAGGAAGACGAUUUUGAGCUAAUCAUCCCGCCUCUAUCUUCACAGCCCCAGGAGAAUGUCCUCUUGGAGGAGUGCGGUUAGCCCCGGUGUUAGGAGCAGCCUACCUGUGUCAAGAGCCUUUCCAUGUGCUGCUUUGAGAGUGUUUGGAACCGGCGCCCAUUCCCUGCCUCUACAGAAAUGGAUCUCGAAUGUGCCUAGAAGGAUCUGGGGCUGAGGCCGCCACUACUCCUAGCCCCUUGAUGAUUCAGGAAUGCCUCUACUGGCUGAGCACGCCCUCCGUCCCUCAGUGAUCCAGUCAGACAGGAAUUCAUCACUGAGCCACUACUCCGGACUCCCAGCUCCUAGCUCAUGUCCCUGCAGUGUAUCCAGUAAACUAAAUUUAGACCCUCGGGGACAACAGAGAAGGAGCCAUGUGGCCCAGAUCUCUGUCUUCGUGUGCGGUGGGCUAUAUGACAUGCUUGCCUUCUCCGAUCUGAAAACCUAGGCUAGAUUUGGGUCUAGUGAAACAACUUGGGGGUUGGGGAAAAGGCUACAAUCGGAAACUGCGCAUUUCUGUAACAAUAACUUCAGACAAAGUAAGAUGAAGAGGUUUGAAAAAUAAAUACAAUUGCCAUGAAAACCAAA